Long non-coding RNA from Antechinus flavipes (yellow-footed antechinus), 1606 nucleotides. RefSeq lists it as uncharacterized. The record is from RefSeq and is a predicted model, not a curated record. The transcript is spliced from 4 exons. NCBI's taxonomy places the organism in Eukaryota, Metazoa, Chordata, Mammalia, Dasyuromorphia, Dasyuridae.
ACUUUAAAUUAGCAAAUAAUAGCAAAUACCAAAGUACAUUUGCCACUUGCAACAAAUCUUGCCAGAGGCAGCAAAGAAACUAGAGAGUAUUGAGGGACUGAUCUGAGGCAGAUGUCAUCAAAACUAAGUCGGAUUAAGAGGCCUCUGGGUCAAUGGAAAUGAAAUCUUUUAACACAUUAUUCCAGCACACAUGGACAACAUGGGUAGAAAUAAAAUAUCACCAGUGGAAAGAGAUGAAAGCAAAACUAAGUAAUACUGACCUUACCCUUUCUACUGGUUUGACUUUAGGAAGUGAAUGGCAUGUGAAAAUGGUAACCACAUAACCACACAAUACAAAUGACACAAAAAUAAGAUUAACAUCUCUAAUGGCUAGCCAGGUCUCCAGAGUCUAAUCACCAAGUGGCCAGCCUCUCAGUGAUAUCUCUCUUUUUAAUUAGCUAGAACAGUUCUCAGAAAACAUUUAGUCCAAACUGGCUCCAGAGUUGAAAAAAGGGAUUGCUUUUGGAAAAUAGUAAACUGCUUUACCUAUUCCCAAGAUCCCCACAAAAGCAAACAUCUUUUCAAUGGUAACAUUUCAGGGCUGCUGUACAGUGCCAAGACCCGGAACACCCUUUCUUGUGAAGAACUAAAGAGGGACAUCCUACAGAGUAUAGUGGAGUGGUGCAUGAUUUCCUCAACAGUCUUCAGCACAACAGAAGAGAAAAGAUUAUUAAAGAAAACACCAGUUCCUGAAGAACAUGAUGCUUACAAUGAUUCAGUCUGAAGUUUUCCUACUCAAGCAGAUCCUAUACCAAAGAAAAAAAGUAGAGAAAAACACAUCGCAGUGCUUUUAUUUGCAGAAAAUAUUUAUUUCAACAUUUACAGGACAUCAGAGCAGGUUUCUUUGAUGAUUUCCUGAAAGAUAAUGUCUAUAUGAAUGUUAUGGAAUAUUAUUGUUCUGUAAGAAAUGACCAGCAGGAUGAAUACAGAGAGGCUUGGAGAGACCUACAUGAACUGAUGCUAAGUGAAAUGAGCAGAACCAGGAGAUCAUUAUACACUUCGACAACGAUAUUGUAUGAGGACAUAUUUUGAUGGAAGUGGAUUUCUUUGACAAAGAGACCUGAGUUUCAAUUGAUAAAUGACGGACAAAAGCAGCUACACCCAAAGAAAGAACACUGGGAAACGAAUGUGAACUAUCUGCAUUUUUGUUUUUCUUCCCGGAUUAUUUAUACCUUCUGAAUCCAAUUCUCCCUACGCAACAAGAGAACUGUUCGGUUCUGCAAACAUAUAUUGUAUCUAGGAUAUACUGCAACAUAUCCAACAUAUAAAGGACUGCUUGCCAUCUAGGGGAGGGGGUGGAGGGAGGGAGGGGAAAAAAAAAUCGGAACAGAAAUGAGUGUCAAUAUAAUGUAAUUAUUAAAUAAAAAAUUUAAAAAAAAAAAAAAGAAAUCUAAGUAUGGCAUAAUAGGAAGAAAAAUCAUUGAUAUACCAGCCUGAAGACUUUUGAAGCCCUUGCUCUUUUACUAAAUAUAGGAAUUUGUACAAACCUUUUUACUUCACUGGACAUCCAUUUCUUUAUUUGUAAAAUUAAAGACAAAUCAUGUCUAAAAAAAAAAAAAAAAGAUAA